RNAcentral lists this long non-coding RNA (230 nucleotides) under Elaeis guineensis (African oil palm). Its description in RNAcentral is "long non-coding RNA (EGUI_LNC029753)". The record is from RNAcentral. Lineage: Eukaryota; Viridiplantae; Streptophyta; Magnoliopsida; Arecales; Arecaceae.
GGAUUCCUUGGGAUGCUCCUUCAAUAUGAAGCAAGCCCUGAAGAGACAGAAGGAUGGCUUGACCCUGAGGAGAAGGCAGUGGAUUAGAAAGGCUAAAAUCUAACGCCACAAGUUCAACACUAUACUGCAGGGGCUUAUUUGAUAUGUGUUAAGUAAUUCUACAACUAAAUAGUGAAAAGGUAACCUAAGGCCGUUCUUCAAAGAUUCCUCAUAAAGGCCAACCUCACCUU